UCAAACUGCUGGUAACCAAAGGUGAAAAAAUACAUCUCAAAAGCAGCCAGAGAAAAGUGAAAGAUGACAUACAAGGAAACUACAAUUAAAUUAAUCAUGGACUGUUCAUCAUUAACUAUGAAGGCCAAAAAUUAGAAAUAAAAUUUAAAAAAAUCCAACAAAGAAUUUAACAAAAAAUAAAAUAUUCACAACUAAUAAUAUGAAAAAAAACCCUUUCCAAAAAAAGAAAAAGAAAAAGAAUAAAGAAAACUAAGAGAAUCUAUCACCAGCAAACCUGUACUAUAAAAGGUAGUUUUUCAGGCUGAAAAACAACUCAAGUCUUCUCGAAUAAAGGAAAAGUAUCCCAGUGAUUAUUUAGAACAAAAAUUACAGCAUCAUCUUCUUGGGUUUAUAACAUAUGGGGAUAUAAUACACUAGGCAGCUAUGUCAGAGGCAUGUGAACCACAGCAACUCCAUCUUACAUAGGAACUGGGUAAAAUGAGGCUGAAACCUACUGGGCUGCAUUCCCAGAUGGUUAGUGCAUUCUAAGUCACAGGAUGAGAUACGAGGUCAGCACAAAAUACAGGUGAUAAAGACUUUGCUGAUUAAACAGGUUGCAGUAAAGGAGCUGGGCUAAACCCACCAAAACCAAAAUGGCAACCAGAGUGACCUCUGGUAGUCCUCACUGCUACACUCCCACCAUGCCAUGACAGUUUACAAAUGCCAUGACAAUGUCAAGAAUUUACCCUAUAUGGUCUAAAAAGGGGAGGUAUCAAUAAUCCAUGCAUUUUUUUAGCAUAUCAUCAAGAAAUAACCAUAAAAAAUGGGCAACCAGCAGCCCCUUGGGGCUUCCCUGUCUCUGGAGUAGCCAUUCUUUUAUUCCUUUACUUUCUUAAUAAACUUGCUUUCACUUUGCCCUGCAGAGUCGCACUGAAUUCUUUACUGCUCAAGGUCCAAAAACCCUCUCUUGGGGUCUGGAUCGGGACCCCUGUCCUGUAACAUAUUUCUGGUGGACCAUGGAAGGGAUGAUACUGAAGAGACCCCCAACCCAAAGGAAAAUCAUCUGUGUGCACCAGUUGGCUGACUUUGGGGAUACUUCAGGAUAAAACACGGGCUUAGAACACCUGUAAACCCACUUUUCAAGCUGACCCAGCAAGCUGGUCGGUAACAAACUUGGCUGCAAGUCUCUGGAACAACCAGAAAAACUGGAUGAAGUCUCCACCUUGUUUUAUGUCCUUGGGAGCUUGACCUUUUAACCAGGUGGCAUACUUUAUCUUGGUCUCCACCUUUCAGGGAAUGGGAAUUUUAGGGUUCAUGUCAUAGUUAGCUCUAAAAAUCAUAUUAAAUACAAGCCUUUGCAAGCUCAAAAUUAACUACUCUAGACUCCUUCUAGGAAAGGAAAUGGAGAUUCACCCAUGCUUUAAGGUCAUAAACUGCUUUUUUAACUUUUAAAAACUGUUCAAUUUACCUACCUUAAAGCCAUUAGAUUCUAGAUAAGGCCUGGAGACAUGUGGAAUUAGCCAUGCCCCCUAGCUAUACAAAGACAAUUAUAAAGAAAAAGAUUUUAUAUAAGAAAGGAUGUUGUGCUAUAAAUUCUUGUCCUAAAGUAAAAUGACUGGUUGUUUAAAAGGAGGGAUGUUUAGGGCAAGUCAGAAAGUCCAAGAAUGUCUCAGAUGGUCUGUGUAAGCUGUGAAAGGAUUUGUGAAUAGGAAUUUAUGCAAAAAAUGUUGUACAAUUCAAAAGUUGUUAGGUUUCCUAAGUGCUUCAUAAAAUGCCACUGUGACUUACUGUACAACUUGCCUGCUUUACAGCUAGACAAGGUCUGGGGACAUGUGGAGUUAGCCAUGCCCCCUAACUAUGCUGGAGAGUCAGCUCUUAUCUGCACUUCUGCCUGGUGUGUCCUAGGCUAGGCUCCACACCUAGUACAUAAUUAAAAUCUCAAAGUUACCAAGGUUUUCACCAAAAAUAAAAAAUAAAAUAUAACAUGUAACUGACACUACUAAAGAAACAAUUUUACAUGCAAAGUGUGUAAAGAAAGUAAAAUGUGUUUUUUGUGAAAGAUUAUAAGAAGACAUGGGAAUGUGGAUUUUUUCUGCCUAAAGUGUUAAAGGAUUGUUUUAAGUAAGAGAAAACGCUAAAGAUUUAAACAAGUUGUGGAAGGCUUAUAAAAAUUAAUUGUAAGAGAUUCUGUGUGUGAACAUAUUGGCUAAAGUUAAAGGGGUGUUAUUCAGUUUUUCCAUAAACUAAACAUUGGAAUAAAAGCACAACAGGUUUUUCUUAAAGCAUUGAUCUGCUCUUUCACACACAAAAAUGUAAAGGGUUGUAAAAGAUUUAUAAAAAUCCUACCUUAUGUUUAAACAUUAAAAUUGGAUAAAUAUGUCUAUAAGGUUUUAUUAAAAAUUGGAUUUAACAUUAAGAAUACAUUAAUGUAAACAUGUAAUUUGGCUUAUUUAGUAUAAAGAUCAUACAGGAAGCAUUAUCAAAUGUCAAAUGGUAUUUUGCUUUCUUUGGGCUGUAUUUGCAUAAACUUAUUAUUGGUAUAUGUUCCAAAGUUAUGGGAAACUCCUAUAAUUGUAACAUGACAUAGUGUAUGGUAUUAAUAAUUAUAAUUGUUAUAUAACAUUUUGUGUGCCACAGAAGUAACCAAAUUUCCUUAUCAAUUGUGGCUUUAAUAGUAGCUGUCCUAAAACUUUUUAUCAUCCACAGACAAUUAUUGUCUUUUUUAAAUCCUCUUUAGAAGGUGGUUUAUAAUCAACUGCAGAACUCUAGCAGCUGUUCUUAAAUGCAGGUUUCUAAUAACUUCGGAAAUUGUAACAUUAGAAUAGAGGAAACAACUUUCAGAGUUCUCAUGAAUAGCUGGAAUGUUCAUGGAUAUUAAAUAGAACAGGAGUUAACUGAAUUAACUGAACCAAUAGAAAAUGGAAGUAAUCUUUUUAAUUUUGCUUAAAAUGCUGCUGAUCCUUUGUUUUGUUUUUCAGAGUCAAGGAAACUUUUCUUUUGAGCUAUUUACAGCUUUUAGCAAUUGAGUAAAGUAUACUCCUGUGAACAAAAUUUGGAGCAUAUUUGUUUCUCUCUCUCUCAUUUCUCCAACAUUUGGAAACUAUUUGUAAGUAUUCUUAAAUUAAUGACAAUAUAGUUAAUUGCAUAAGUGCAAUAAGAAUUUGUUUUCCUUUGUAACAAGACACAAUUGGGGAGAUUGAUUAUCUCACCAAGGCUUUAACUGAAAUGGUGUGCUUUCCUUUAAGGAAUCAAAUUUGACUUGUAAAGCCAAUAAAAGAUCCUUGGAGAAUUGGCCUCAGACCUUGCCUGCAACAGUCCCUGUACAGGGUUUCUGAUCUGUGAUAAGUAAAGAAUGUCACUUUCUGACAGGUCCAGGAGCCCCAAGUUAUCUUGGGACACCAAGAGGACAGGAAUUUACUCAACUCAUAGAUAUUUGAGGGUACAAACUCAUGGUUGAGCUUGGCUUUAAAAAGUCUAAUCUAAGAUUCCUUCUAUGGAACAGAGUUCCAUCAAAGGCAGUUAAAAAUAGCCUAUAUGCAGUGAGGCUCCGCCUUGGUUUUCUCAGCUGUGAUGUGUAGUCUCCAAACAGCUUAAGGGUUUUUAAGGAGUUUUCUCACAUGGUCACCUCCACUCCACUCAGUUACCAUCAGCAUCAGAAAGGUUAACAUCCCUGGGACCAUUCCAGUUUUAAAAGAGAUGAACUAGUGUGCUUUCUCCCCUUUUACAAGUGUGCCAUCCAUAUACAGUCUCCUCUUGGCCAAGUUCAACAAGUGUUUCCAGGGAACCCUCUGGGUUGAGGCAAAAUAGCCAAGAUGUAUUGAGUUUAAGUUUUUCGGGGAGGAGCCAAGAUGGCCGAAUAGGAACAGCUCCGGUCUACAGCUCCCAGCAUGAGCGACGCAGAAGACGGG
This 3887-nucleotide long non-coding RNA is filed under the name Homo sapiens (human). Its description in RNAcentral is "HSALNT0138854". Lineage: Eukaryota; Metazoa; Chordata; Mammalia; Primates; Hominidae. The record is from RNAcentral.